RNAcentral lists this ribosomal RNA (530 nucleotides) under uncultured bacterium. RNAcentral describes it as "bacterial SSU rRNA". It matches the Rfam family "Bacterial small subunit ribosomal RNA", at positions 777 to 1304 of the family's 1533-position model. The record is from RNAcentral.
AAUAGAUACCCCGGUAGUCCACGCCAUAAACGAUGAAUGCUAGGUGUUAGGGGUUUCGAUACCCUUGGUGCCGAAGUUAACACAUUAAGCAUUCCGCCUGGGGAGUACGGUCGCAAGACUGAAACUCAAAGGAAUUGACGGGGACCCGCACAAGCAGUGGAGUAUGUGGUUUAAUUCGAAGCAACGCGAAGAACCUUACCAGGUCUUGACAUCCCUCUGAAUCCUCUAGAGAUAGAGGCGGCCUUCGGGACAGAGGAGACAGGUGGUGCAUGGUUGUCGUCAGCUCGUGUCGUGAGAUGUUGGGUUAAGUCCCGCAACGAGCGCAACCCUUGAUUUUAGUUGCCAGCACAUUAAGGUGGGCACUCUAGAAUGACUGCCGGUGACAAACCGGAGGAAGGCGGGGAUGACGUCAAAUCAUCAUGCCCCUUAUGACCUGGGCUACACACGUACUACAAUGGCCAGUACAACGGGAAGCGAAGUCGCGAAGCGGAGCCAAUCCUAUCAAAGCUGGUCUCAGUUCGGAUUGCAGG